UACGUAGGGGGCAAGCGUUGUCCGGAAUUAUUGGGCGUAAAGGGCUCGUAGGCGGUCUGUCACGUCGGGAGUGAAAACUCAGGGCUUAACCCUGAGCCUGCUUCCGAUACGGGCUGACUAGAGGUAUGCAGGGGAGAACGGAAUUCCUGGUGUAGCGGUGAAAUGCGCAGAUAUCAGGAGGAACACCGGUGGCGAAGGCGGUUCUCUGGGCAUUACCUGACGCUGAGGAGCGAAAGUGUGGGGAGCGAACAGG
RNAcentral lists this ribosomal RNA (253 nucleotides) under uncultured bacterium. RNAcentral's name for it is "partial 16S ribosomal RNA". It matches the Rfam family "Bacterial small subunit ribosomal RNA", at positions 524 to 776 of the family's 1533-position model. The record is from RNAcentral.